This is a long non-coding RNA of Dermochelys coriacea (leatherback sea turtle), 154 nucleotides long. RefSeq lists it as uncharacterized. The transcript is spliced from 3 exons. Lineage: Eukaryota; Metazoa; Chordata; Testudines; Dermochelyidae. The record is from RefSeq and is a predicted model, not a curated record.
AGACCAGGGGUCGGCAACCUGCGGCACGCAUGCCAAAGGCGGCACACGAGCUGAUUUUUAUUGGCACGCUGCUGCCAGGCAGGGUCCCGGCCGCCGCCCCCGUUCAGCCCACUGCCGGCCUGGGGUUCUGUCUGCUGUACACCAUAAGUAGCAC